UUGGAGGGCAAGUCUGGUGCCAGCAGCCGCGGUAAUUCCAGCUCCAAUAGCGUAUAUUAAAGUUGUUGCAGUUAAAAAGCUCGUAGUUGAAUUUCGGGAUUGACGUGAUGGUCGUGCCUUAAGGGGUAUGAACUGUUGCAGUCAAUUUCUCACCUUCUGGAGAAAUAUAAUGUCCUUAAUUGGGUGUUAUAUGAAACCAGAACUUUUACCUUGAAAAAUUAGAGUGUUUAAAGCAGGCAUAUUGCUCGAAUACAUUAGCAUGGAAUAAUAAAAUAGGACGGCAUGGUUCUAUUUUGUUGGUUUCUAGGAUCACCGUAAUGAUUAAUAGGGAUAGUUGGGGGCAUUAGUAUUCAAUUGUCAGAGGUGAAAUUCUUGGAUUUAUUGAAGACUAACUACUGCGAAAGCAUUUGCCAAGGAUGUUUUCAUUAAUCAAGAACGAAGGUUAGGGGAUCGAAGACGAUCAGAUACCGUCGUAGUCUUAACCAUAAACUAUGCCGACUAGGAAUCAGACGAUGUUAAUUUUUAAUGACUCAUUCGGC
Molecule: ribosomal RNA, 539 nt
Filed under: uncultured Entrophospora
Lineage: Eukaryota; Fungi; Glomeromycota; Glomeromycetes; Entrophosporales; Entrophosporaceae
Description: SSU rRNA
Rfam family: Eukaryotic small subunit ribosomal RNA
Source: RNAcentral